This 253-nucleotide ribosomal RNA is filed under the name uncultured bacterium. RNAcentral's name for it is "partial 16S ribosomal RNA". It matches the Rfam family "Bacterial small subunit ribosomal RNA", at positions 524 to 776 of the family's 1533-position model. The record is from RNAcentral.
UACGAAGGGGGCUAGCGUUGCUCGGAAUCACUGGGCGUAAAGCGCACGUAGGCGGACUCUUAAGUCAGGGGUGAAAUCCUGGAGCUCAACUCCAGAACUGCCUUUGAUACUGGGAAUCUCGAGUCCGGGAGAGGUGAGUGGAACUGCGAGUGUAGAGGUGAAAUUCGUAGAUAUUCGCAAGAACACCAGUGGCGAAGGCGGCUCACUGGCCCGGUACUGACGCUGAGGUGCGAAAGCGUGGGGAGCAAACAGG